AGCGAACGCUGGCGGCAGGCCUAACACAUGCAAGUCGAACGGGCCCCUUCGGGGGUCAGUGGCAGACGGGUGAGUAACACGUGGGAACGUACCUUUCGGUUCGGGAUAACCCGGGGAAACUCGGGCUAAUACCGGAUACGCCUUUCGGGGGAAAGAUUUAUUGCCGAGAGAUCUGCCCGCGUCUGAUUAGCUAGUUGGUGAGGUAACGGCUCACCAAGGCGACGAUCAGUAGCUGGUCUGCGAGGCUGAUCAGCCACACUGGGACUGAGACACGGCCCAGACUCCUACGGGAGGCAGCAGUGGUGAAUAUUGGACAAUGUGCGAAAGCCUGAUCCAGCCAUGCCGCGUGAGUGAUGAAGGCCCUAGGGUUGUAAAGCUCUUUCGGCGGGGACGAUAAUGACGGUACCCGCAGAAGAAGCCCCGGCUAACUUCGUGCCAGCCGCCGCCGUAA
This 451-nucleotide ribosomal RNA is filed under the name uncultured bacterium. Its description in RNAcentral is "partial 16S ribosomal RNA". It matches the Rfam family "Bacterial small subunit ribosomal RNA", at positions 29 to 523 of the family's 1533-position model. The record is from RNAcentral.